UUUAAUGCCAUGCAUCUCCUUAACGCAGGAAUAUACAUUAGCGAGCCGCACACACACACACAAAAUACACCAAAAUACAAUGCCUCCAUUUAUCGUGAGCUUUUAUCAGUUAAUAUGAAAAUGUUUCCCCCUGUGGAAACCACCAAUCGGCCCACCACAAAAAUCCCCCACAAACUGGAAACCCAACUGGCAACCGCUUGGAACAAUCAACCACAAGACGUCACAGAGCUGUUCAGGGGGCUUUAGGGCAGAGAUUGAGAGGGGGAUAAGAGUGGAGUGAUAGAGGAAUAAAACCAGGGACAGGGAGGCAGGGGAGGGGCUGGAUUCUCAGCUCCAGAUCCUAUUUUAUGAACCGUGUUGUUCUUUGAGCGUCUGAAAAUCAAGUUUGUAAAACGGCCGUAUAGAUCUAAAGGAGGAACGCUCUGAGAAGAUAAAGACAGAAAACAGGAAGUCAACAAAUCAACCCUCUAACGUCACAUCCAUUACAUAUCCAGGUGACGGAGAAGCUCCACCUCCUGUAGAUCCCCUGCAGCUCUUCUCUUAUCAGAGGGUUAACUCCUCCUGCCGUCUCUAAUUUGUCAAACUCAGCACCUCAUUUUCAACAAGGCGACCAGGAUGUCUGUAUCUGCUCCAUCAUCUCUAACAAAGAGUCCUGCUGCUCCGGCCUGAGGCUUUAUAUCACCCCAACCAGGUCCAGCCCGUCGUUA
Xyrichtys novacula (pearly razorfish) is the source of this 707-nucleotide non-coding RNA. NCBI's taxonomy places the organism in Eukaryota, Metazoa, Chordata, Actinopteri, Labriformes, Labridae. The record is from the annotation of a GenBank genome assembly.